Molecule: ribosomal RNA, 260 nt
Filed under: uncultured bacterium
Lineage: Bacteria
Description: partial 16S ribosomal RNA
Rfam family: Bacterial small subunit ribosomal RNA
Source: RNAcentral
GUCCUAGCCCUAACGGUGCUUACUGGGUGUGGGAGGAAUCGACCCUUCCGUGCCGAAGCUAACGCAUUAAGUAAGCCGCCUGGGAGUACGGUCGCAAGACUAAACUCAAAGAAUUGACGGGCCCGCACAAGCGGUGGAGCAUGUGGCUUAAUUCGAUGCAACGCGAAGAACCUUACCUGGCCUUGACAUGUACGUAGUAGAAGCCCGAAAUGGCGACGAGGUAGCAAUACCAGCGUACACAGGUGCUGCAUGGCUGUCGU